GGCUCUGUGGCGCAAUGGAUAGCGCAUUGGACUUCUGGUUGAAUGUAGGCAUUCAAAGGUUGUGGGUUCGAAUCCCACCAAAGUCG
Xenopus tropicalis (tropical clawed frog) is the source of this 86-nucleotide non-coding RNA. NCBI's taxonomy places the organism in Eukaryota, Metazoa, Chordata, Amphibia, Anura, Pipidae. The record is from Rfam.